GAUCAGGCUCAGGAUGAACGCUAGCUACAGGCUUAACACAUGUAAGUCGAGGGGCAGCGGGAAGUCAGCUUGCUGACUUUGCCGGCGACCGGCGCACGGGUGAGUAAUACGUAUCCAACCUCCCGCAUACUCGGGAAUAGCCUUUCGAAAGAAAGAUUAAUGCCCGAUGGUUUCAAGGGAUUGCAUGGUAUCUUGAAUAAAGAUUCAUCGGUAUGCGAUGGGGAUGCGUUCCAUUAGG
This 238-nucleotide ribosomal RNA is filed under the name uncultured bacterium. Its description in RNAcentral is "partial 16S ribosomal RNA". It matches the Rfam family "Bacterial small subunit ribosomal RNA", at positions 15 to 245 of the family's 1533-position model. The record is from RNAcentral.